RNAcentral lists this long non-coding RNA (1312 nucleotides) under Macaca mulatta (Rhesus monkey). Its description in RNAcentral is "lncRNA (ENSMMUG00000050357.1)". Lineage: Eukaryota; Metazoa; Chordata; Mammalia; Primates; Cercopithecidae. The record is from RNAcentral.
UAAGCCGAAUCUGGACCAGGGUUCUCCCCCUCGGCACUAUUGACAUUCUGGGCUGGAUAAUUCUCUGUUGUGGGGGCUGCCCUGUGCAUUAUAGAAUUUAUGCAGCAUCCCUGGCCUCUACUCACUAGAUGCUGGUGAUAGCAACUCUGCAUUCUCCAGGUUGUGUCCAUUAAAAACGUCUCCAGGCAUUGCUGGGAGACAAAAUUGGCCCUGAUGGAGAAUCACUGGGUCACCAGGGAAAUCGAGGGGACCGCAUCGUGGUCAGGCAUGGAGGGAGGAGAGAGCACGGUCCAUUCCAACACCCUCAAGUGGAUCAAAACGUAGACUUGACUCCUGUGAACUAUGCUUUGGAAGUAAAUGAUGAAGGAGGAAUAAAGAAUAAUGCAGUAAGGAAGAUCAUAGCAUUUUGGAGCAGAAAGAAGGUUGUGGAAACAAUUUUGUGCAAAUGGCUUAUUUUAUGGAUGAGGAACUAAGGCUUUGAGAGGCAUAGCUGGCUAGUAGCAGUUCUGAAAAUUGGUUCUAGGGCAGGCAUUUUUUUCUCUGCCUGCUGUUCCUCAUGUUUAUGAGGAGUGUCAUUGGUUCUUCUUUGCUGGGUACAGUGUCUUCUUCAUCUUUUUAACAGCUAGCAAUGUACAUCUGUCUGCAAGGGGAAGAGGGAAGCUUUCCCAGCCACGUGGGAAUGGCCCUCGAGGUCUGUUACCGGGCAUAAAGUGAAGCACCAUUUCUUAGACAUAUUAAGUCAGUGAAAAUGAGUAGGUUUGGCAGGAAAAGAGGCAUCAUAUGUUGAUGAAAGAAAGAGAUUCUCCCCCCCCUUUUUUUUUUUUUUGAGAUGGAGUCUUGCUCUGUGACCCAGAGCUGGAGUGCGGUGGUGCAAUCUCAGCUUACUGCAGCCUACACCGUCUAGGUUCAAGUGAUUCCCCCGCCUCAGCACCCCAGCAGUUGGGAUUACAGGCACCCACCACCAUGCCUGGGUAAUUUUUGUAUUUUUAGUAGAGAUGGGUUUUACCAUGUUGGCCAGGCUGGUCUCAAACUCCUGACCUCAAGUGAUCCGCCCUCCUUGGCCUCCCAAAGUGCUGGGAUUACAGAUGUGAGCGCCUGGCUGGGAUUCGCAUUUUUAAAAAGGGGAGGGGGCUGUUAAUUGUCUCACUGCUCACUUGUGAAGCUUACAGCGGCUGUACAUUUUCUGUUUUCCAAUCCUUUCAGAAAUGGCAGCAAAGUAUCAGUACAAUCAUCUAAUUCAGAAAUCCCUUCUUUUUUUUUUUUUUUUUUGAGACGGAGUUUCAUUCUUGUUGCCCAGGCUGGAGUGCAAUGG